AUGUUACAACCACAACCCUCUCCUAAUAUGUCCCUGAAUAUCAUUAUAGAUCUCUCCCUUUCUCUCUCUUCUCCCCUCUCUCCUUCUCUCCCUCUCUUCAUCUCUCCCUUUUUCUCCCAUUCUCUCUCUCUUCCUCCCUCCCUCUCCCUCCCUCUCUUUCUCCACCUUUCUCUCUCGCUCCCCCUCUCUAUAUACACACAAACAUACAUAUUAUAUAUAUGUAAUGUAAUUACAGAUAUUCUGGAAAUUGACAACACAGACUAUAAUGGUCAACAGAAUGGACAUUGUAUGUAGGCACUAGCCUGAUAACCAAUUUCCUCUCAAAUGACUCUAUGUCAGAAGCUGAUGCAAUUUAAUCAGUGUAAAUGACAGUAAAAAAGAAACUUUAUCAUCUGCUUUGCCACUAAGUCUCAUGGGAUAUUUUCUUCUUAAAAAUUGUUUAAAUUACAUUUUGAGUUCCAAUUUGUCUCCCUCCAUCCCUGCAUUAGAAAAAGCAAAUAUUUGAUACAGAUAUAUGUAUGUGGAACCAUACAGAAAUACAUAUAUCAGCUAUUCUGAUAUAUGCAUUUUCCUUUAUAAGACCACCUUAGUUGAUAUCAAUGACUGUAUUACUUAAAAUAGUUUAGUCAUUGAUAAUUACUCUUCGAACCAUAUGGCUAUUACUCUAUACAAGGUUCUCUUGGUUCUGCUUAUUUCACUGCAUUAUUUCAUUUAAGUUUUUCCAUGUUUUUCUUUUAUUUUUAUUAUUUUUUAAGAACAAAACCCUUCCCUUUUCAGAAUCAAUACUAAAUAUUAGUUCUAAGGCAGCCAGGUGGUGUCUGAGGACAAAUUUGAUUUCAGGGCCUUAAAUAUGACUUUUUUUUUUUUUUUUAAGGCAAACAAGAAUAAGUGACUUGCCCAGGGUCACAUGCUACUAAGUGGCUGAGGCUGGAUUUGAACUUGGGUCCUCCUGACUCAAAGCCCAGUGCUCUAUCCUCUGUUCCAUCUAGUUGCUCAUUAUGUUUUUCUAAAACCAAAUUGCACAUUUUUUCUUAGAGCACUGUAGUAUUUCAUCACAAUCAUAUGCCACAACUUGUUCAGUCAUUCUCCAAUUGAUGGGCAUCCCUUCAAUUUGCAAUUCUUUGCCACCACAAAGAGAGCUACUAUAAAUAUUUGAUAACAAAUAAGUUCUUUUCUUUUUUCUCUGAUCACCUUGGUAAAGAGACCUAAUAAUGGUACUGCUAGAUCACAGUUUUUUAACUCUUUCAGCAUAUUCCAAACUGUUCUCCAAAAUGGUUGGAUCAAUUCACAAUUCUACCAAUAGUUUAUAUGACCCAACUUUUAGACAUCCCCUCCAACAUUUGUCAUUUUUUUCCUUCUUUCAUUUUGACCAAUAUGGUAUGAAAUGGUAUCUCAGAACUGCUUUAAUUGGUAUUUCUCUAAUCAACAAUGAUUUAGAGUAUUCUUUCAUAUAACUAGAUAGCUUUGAUUUCUUCUUCCAAUAAUGGCUUAUUCAUAUUCUUUGAUCAUUUAUCAAUUGGGGAAUGAUUCAUAUUCUUCAAAAUUUAAUUCAGUUCUCAAUGUUUCGAUUUAUGGCCGUUAGCUGAGAAAAUGGCUACAAAAAUUUUUUUUCCCAAUUUUCUGUUUUCCUUCUAGUCUUGGCUACAUUGACUUCAUCUACACAGAAAUUUUCUAAUGUAAUAAAGUGAUCCAUUUUAUGUCCCA
Long non-coding RNA from Monodelphis domestica (gray short-tailed opossum), 1704 nucleotides. NCBI's taxonomy places the organism in Eukaryota, Metazoa, Chordata, Mammalia, Didelphimorphia, Didelphidae. The record is from Ensembl.